UAAAAGACUACUUUCGCAUGAAAGAAGUUUAAAAAGGACGGCGUAAAGCUGUCGCUAAGGGAUGGACCUGCGAUGCAUUAGCUAGUUGGUAAGGUAACGGGACUUACCAAGGCGAUGAUGCAUAGCCCGAGUUGAGAGACUGAUCGGCCACAUUGGGACUGAGACACGGCCCAAACUCCUACGGGAGGCAGCAGUAGGGAAUCUUCCACAAUGGACGAAAGUCUGAUGGAGCAACGCCGCGUGAGUGAAGAAGGUUUUCGGAUCGUAAAGCUCUGUUGUUGGUGAAGAAGGAUAGAGGUAGUAACUGGCCUUUAUUUGACGGUAAUCAACCAGAAAGUCACGGCUAACUACGUGCCAGCAGCCGCGGUAAU
Molecule: ribosomal RNA, 371 nt
Filed under: uncultured Lactobacillus sp.
Lineage: Bacteria; Bacillati; Bacillota; Bacilli; Lactobacillales; Lactobacillaceae
Description: bacterial SSU rRNA
Rfam family: Bacterial small subunit ribosomal RNA
Source: RNAcentral